Molecule: ribosomal RNA, 460 nt
Filed under: uncultured bacterium
Lineage: Bacteria
Description: partial 16S ribosomal RNA
Rfam family: Bacterial small subunit ribosomal RNA
Source: RNAcentral
CCUACGGGUGGCAGCAGUGAGGAAUAUUGGUCAAUGGACGAGAGUCUGAACCAGCCAAGUAGCGUGAAGGAUGAAUGCCCUAUGGGUUGUAAACUUCUUUUAUAUGGGAAUAAAAUGUUCCACGUGUGGGAUUUUGUAUGUACCAUAUGAAUAAGGAACGGAUAACUCCGUGCCAGCAGCCGCGGGCAUACGGAGGAUACGAGCGUUCUCCGGUAUUAUUGGGUUUAAAGGGAGCGUAGGUGGUUUGUUAAGGCAGUUGUGAAAGUUUGCGGCUCAACCGUAAAAUUGCAGUUGAAACUGGCAGUCUGGAGUACAGUAGAGGUGGGCGGAAUUCGUGGUGUAGCGGUGAAAUGCUUAGAUAUCACGAAGAACUCCGAUUGCGAAGGCAGCUCACUGGACUGCAACUGACACUGAGGCUCGAAAGUGUGGGUAUCAAACAGGAUUAGAUACCCCAGUAGUC